ACGAACGCUGGCGGCGUGCUUAACCCAUGCAAGUCGAACGGAAAGGCCCUGCUUUUGUGGGGUGCUCGAGUGGCGAACGGGUGAGUAACACGUGAGUAACCUGCCCUUGACUUUGGGAUAACUUCAGGAAACUGGGGCUAAUACCGGAUAGGAGCUCCUGCUGCAUGGUGGGGGUUGGAAAGUUUCGGCGGUUGGGGGUGGACUCGCGGCUUAUCAGCUUGUUGGUGGGGUAGUGGCUUACCAAGGCUUUGACGGGUAGCCGGCCUGAGAGGGUGACCGGCCACAUUGGGACUGAGAUACGGCCCAGACUCCUACGGGAGGCAGCAGUGGGGAAUAUUGCACAAUGGGCGGAAGCCUGAUGCAGCAACGCCGCGUGCGGGAUGACGGCCUUCGGGUUGUAAACCGCUUUCGCCUGUGACGAAGCGUGAGUGACGGUAAUGGGUAAAGAAGCACCGGCUAACUACGUG
Molecule: ribosomal RNA, 467 nt
Filed under: uncultured bacterium
Lineage: Bacteria
Description: partial 16S ribosomal RNA
Rfam family: Bacterial small subunit ribosomal RNA
Source: RNAcentral